RNAcentral lists this long non-coding RNA (1442 nucleotides) under Equus caballus (horse). RNAcentral's name for it is "lncRNA (ENSECAG00000052279.1)". Lineage: Eukaryota; Metazoa; Chordata; Mammalia; Perissodactyla; Equidae. The record is from RNAcentral.
GUAGUCAUUAACCCGUGUUGUCUUCCCAGCUUCCUCCUAUUUGUCUGUGGUGUCUCACUUUGAGCAAGUGGCCCCGGAGCUUGAGCAAUCAAAGGACCGUGAUGUCGAAGACCGCACUGGCUGACUCAACGCUGUCUGGGUCAGCGUCCUUAUUUAGUCCCUUCCUCUUCUUGGUUUCGGAUCCCAGCCCGCGUGUGUGUCCUUUGCACAAGGAACAGGUGGCCUUCCACGAUUCCACAGGAUGGCAGUCCACAGUGUUUGCUGUGAUUGGUCUCAUGACGCACAGUCCAUUUUUUAUGGCCCCAGAGAUCAGCGGGCACUUGAGUUUUGUAGACAGAAGUGAAAGGUCUCUGCCAAGAGUUGCCCACGCUCCUGGCGUUUCCUUCAGCCUGGUUGCCUUUUUAUUUGUGUCCCUAACAGAUGUCCUGGAUUUAAAGAACUUGUUCAUUUUUCAGGGGAACCACCGUGGACAAAGAAGAUACUUUAGAGUGAGCAUUGUGAGUUGGCACAAGAUAAAACUGGGAAGGUGACCCAGAUCCUAGCCCUGGCUGUCAGGCAGAGUGACCCUGGACCGGUCUGUAGCUCUUCCAUUGUAAAAGCAUUAAAACAACAGAAACAAUGCUGUGGGAUGAGUCUGACACCAAUCACACGACAGCACGUAAGCAUCCAGCAGAAACAGGCUCACUGUCUUGAACUACCUGGAUUUUAACCGAGAAGAGAAUGCAUCCUUAGGGCUAACAGAUGCUUUGGGCCCAACAUCAACCUCUGACACAAUUCAGAGAUUUAUGGAAAUAAGAUAUGAAAAAGAUACAUGAGACCCUCACAAUGAAAGUGUUACUGACAGCAUUCAGAACACAUUGGACUCCUAAUAGCAAAAUGGAAUGUUGAAAAAGUUUAGUUUUGUUGAAAGUUCAUGGAAGAAUGUAGUAGGUAUGCUUUAGGAUGUCUCUCAUCCACAGUACAUUUCCUUAGGAUCAUCCCUUACCAACAGACUCUCCUGAAGCCGAGGGCUUAGGUGACCACAUCUCUAUAGCCAUCACCCCCGCCACAGCUGAUGGAACCAGGGCGACGCCAGUGUCAGCUUGAUAGGGAAUACUGAACACAACCAGACCAAGAUGGUCUCUACGGAAACCAGAAAGCAAGGUCACAGAGGACGUGGGAUGCAAUUGUGUGUGGAAAGCCAAAGGCACGGCAAGCUGGAACUAGAGGGAAGGGGUGGACACAGCAGCGACAGCAAUAAUCGAGGCAGCUGACACUUAUGCUGUGUGUGCCAGCCACCUCUCUCUCUCAGGGUUCUCCAGAGAAAUAGAACCAAUAGGAUGUAAAUAUACAGAAAGAGCUUUGUUGCAAGAAAUUGGCUCACCUGAUUAUGGAGACUGAGAAAUCCCUCCAUCUGCCAUCUGCAAGUGGGAGGCCCAGGAAAGCUGGUGGGGUAGGUCCAG